UACGGAGGGUGCAAGCGUUAAUCGGAAUUACUGGGCGUAAAGCGCACGUAGGCUGUUGUGUAAGUCAGGGGUGAAAUCCCACGGCUCAACCGUGGAACUGCCUUUGAUACUGCACGACUUGAAUCCGGGAGAGGGUGGCGGAAUUCUAGGCGUAGGAGUGAAAUCCGUAGAUAUCUGGAGGAACACCAGUGGCGAAGGCGGCCACCUGGACCGGUAUUGACGCUGAGGUGCGAAAGCGUGGGGAGCAAAC
This 250-nucleotide ribosomal RNA is filed under the name uncultured prokaryote. RNAcentral's name for it is "partial 16S ribosomal RNA". It matches the Rfam family "Bacterial small subunit ribosomal RNA", at positions 524 to 773 of the family's 1533-position model. The record is from RNAcentral.